AUGGAGAAGCCCCCCUUUACAAAAAGAUCUCUGAAAAAUUUGUGUGGCAAAAUCACCAGGGUGCGGGCUGAAGAUGAUGUGAGGACUAUGGAGGUUUUCGCAGAACUCAGUUCAAGAGAUCGCCACUUCACUUAUCGUAUGCAAGCAGACAACGAUGGUCCGAUAACAAAUUUGAUGUGGGCGAAUGUGAGCAGCAGGUUGCAGUACACAUUCUUUGGAGACAUCGUUACUUUCGAUACGACUUACAGAACAAACAUGUACAACAUGCCAUUUGGUCUAUUCGUCGGUGUGAACAAUCAUUUUCAGAGUAUCAUCCUGGCUGGGGUUUUGGUUCGUGAUGAAUAAGAGAGAACAUUUGAGUAGGUUUUCACGGAGUUCGUUAGGAUGAUGGGAGUGAGUGCGCCCAAAACAAUUCUGACAUAUCAAUGCUGCGCAAUGGAGUUUGCCAUAAAAAAUGUAAUGCCUCAGACUGUGCAUCGAUGGUUCAAGUGGCACGUGCUAAAAAAGGCAGAAGAAUCACUCAAUUCAUUGUACACCAAGAAGAGUGAGUUCAGGGCAGAGUUCCACAAGGUAGUGAAUCACAUGCUUACAAUCGACAAAUUCGAGGAAGCUUGGAAGAUCUUGGUGGAGAAAUACAAUCUAAAGACUCACUCAUACAUGCCGCAACUGUAUGAAAUACGGCACAAGUGGGAGAAGCCAUAUUUCAAAGGUGUUUUCUGUGCAAAGAUGACCAGCACACAGUGCAGUGAACGUACAAACAACAUGCUGAAGAAUAAUGUUCCACCGGGUUGUCCAGUGAAUAUGUUUAUCAAGAAGUACAUGAGACUUCAAUUUGACAGGGAAGCAGAGGAGAACUACGAGGAGAAACAGACACAAAUAGUAAAAUGCCUCUACAAUGCAAAAUUAGCUAUCGAUCGUCAUCCUGGUAAGAUAUACACAUGAGCUAUGUUCGAGCAGUUUGGGCAUAUACUCUAUGAGUGUGGGGCAUACCAAGUUGAAGAGCUUGAGAAGGGGAAACUUUAUCGUGCGAUUCACAUGGAGGCUGUAAGGAGAGAAAAGUGCUGCAGAGUGUCGUACGAGGUAAAUGUACUGGAAGGGGGUGAUGAACUUGAAUGUGAGUGUGAGCCAUUUGCACACAUGGGUCUGCUAUGCAGCUAUGUUUUAAGGUAUGGUCACUUUGCAGUUGGACACAUUUGUGCACAGCCUAUGGUGAACUAA
This 1218-nucleotide ribosomal RNA is filed under the name Triticum aestivum (bread wheat). RNAcentral's name for it is "partial small subunit ribosomal RNA". Lineage: Eukaryota; Viridiplantae; Streptophyta; Magnoliopsida; Poales; Poaceae. The record is from RNAcentral.